This is a long non-coding RNA of Bubalus bubalis (water buffalo), 1354 nucleotides long. RefSeq lists it as uncharacterized. The record is from RefSeq and is a predicted model, not a curated record. The transcript has 2 exons. Lineage: Eukaryota; Metazoa; Chordata; Mammalia; Artiodactyla; Bovidae.
CAAGAGAGUGAAGGCUAGGGGAGCCUGGCGUGCUGCAGUCCAUGGGGUCACAGAGAGUCAGACAUGACUUAGCAACUGAACAACAACAGCUGAGUGUUGGAGAGGCUCCAGGGAUGGACCCGGCACAAAAGACUUAUUUUACAGAGGGAGAGCCUGAGACCCAGAGAGGGGAAGUGAUUUGCGCAUGGCCACACACCAUGCUGAUAGCGUGUAUUGGACAGGAACAGGUCCUAUCUCUGGCCAGAUGGUCUGUGUUCUGCUCUUUCUUGUGUUCCUAGCUAACCUUGUCCUCAGGAAAGUUUCCAAUGUCAUCCCAGCCUCUGCAGUGGAAGGGGAGUCCCCAGGCCGCCUUACUCAGCGCUGCCUCUGGCUGCUGACAGGCCAGAGAGUCAGUGAGGACCUUGGAGGCAAAGGUCACCUGAGGCUUCUCCUGUGCAGCUGACCCUCAGUGGCAGUUGUUAUUUAAAGUAGUUAUGCUGGAGGGAGGAAGUGACGGAGGCGAAUGUGAAAAUGAGUAGCUAUUGCAAGAUGUGUGUGAUAAAUGAAACAAGGAACAUAAAGACAGACCAAGAGGCACAUCUGUUAUUUUUGUUCCUUUUUAUAGCAACCUCUAAGUCAGACUUCUCACACUGAGUAGGAACCCUUAGCUGCUAAGUGUUUUCCUGACCGAAGCGCUCAUGAGCCUCAAAGGGAGCGGAGAUGGGUAGGUGAUGCGGGGCCCUGGGAACAGCAUGAACCCUCAGAGCCACACCCCAGGCCUGCGCACUCAGCACCUCAAGAUCCGAGGCUCUGAGCAGAAGGGCUGGAGGGCUUCAAAGGUCGGUGCUCCCCUCCGUUUACCGAAGAGUAGGGUGGCGAUCUCACUUGGUCCCUGAACCCAGGGACGUCCCCGCCCAGAUGGUCCCUCACCAGCAGUCAAGAAUGCAAGGGAGCCAUUUUCCAGGGGGGAAUACUGGCUUUCUCUCUCGAGGUGCUUUCUCUCUGCUGAGUCGAAUCACCAGUGCCACCUGCUAGUGGGGACUGAGCCCCCCGGGCUGCCGGAAUUAAGCAGCAACUAGGUGUACCUCUGUGACUGGCUGCAGGACGAUGAGAGAUAAGAGGAAGGCGUUGGAUGGGAAGGUUCCAGAACAGGAGGAUAGAUUGCUGAGGCUCUUUGUUUUCCUCUCCCCUUCCUUCCUCUCUUAUGCUAUCUGGAAUGCUGACACCAUGGCUGGCACUCAGACAGCCAUCUUGGACUAUGAGACAAUGUGUGAACAGCAAGAGAAGAGCAGGGGUCCUUGGUCCAGUUAGAGCUGCCAUCCCACCUCCCGGUUGGGAUUCCUUUCACGUGAGAGAGAAAUAAACUCUAAUGGUC